This 468-nucleotide ribosomal RNA is filed under the name uncultured bacterium. Its description in RNAcentral is "partial 16S ribosomal RNA". It matches the Rfam family "Bacterial small subunit ribosomal RNA", at positions 28 to 507 of the family's 1533-position model. The record is from RNAcentral.
GACGAACGCUGGCGGCGUGCUUAACACAUGCAAGUCGAACGGAAAGGCCCUGCUUUUGUGGGGUGCUCGAGUGGCGAACGGGUGAGUAACACGUGAGUAACCUGCCCUUGACUUUGGGAUAACUUCAGGAAACUGGGGCUAAUACCGGAUAGGAGCUCCUGCUGCAUGGUGGGGGUUGGAAAGUUUCGGCGGUUGGGGAUGUACUCGCGGCUUAUCAGCUUGUUGGUGGGGUAGUGGCUUACCAAGGCUUUGACGGGUAGCCGGCCUGAGAGGGUGACCGGCGACAUUGGGACUGAGAUACGGCCCAGACUCCUACGGGAGGCAGCAGUGGGAAAUAUGGCAAAAUGGGCGGAAGCCUGAUGCAGCAACGCCGCGUGCGGGAUGACGGCCUUCGGGUUGUAAACCGCUUUCGCCUGUGACGAAGCGGGAGUGACGGUAAUGGGUAAAGAAGCACCGGCUAACUACGUG